This is a small nucleolar RNA of Malania oleifera, 105 nucleotides long. The record is from RefSeq and is a predicted model, not a curated record. NCBI's taxonomy places the organism in Eukaryota, Viridiplantae, Streptophyta, Magnoliopsida, Santalales, Ximeniaceae.
ACUUGGUGAUGUAGACAUUUAUGGAGCAAGUCCCCAAAGCGCUCCCAGGUCUUGGAAAAGAAUUCCCCAUCCAUCUAUGAGAAACUUGUGAUGGCUCUCCAAAGU